RNAcentral lists this long non-coding RNA (1174 nucleotides) under Mus spicilegus (steppe mouse). Its description in RNAcentral is "lncRNA (ENSMSIG00000032139.1)". Lineage: Eukaryota; Metazoa; Chordata; Mammalia; Rodentia; Muridae. The record is from RNAcentral.
UAUGCAGAUAUAUUAUUAAAUAUAACUAGUUCAGUCUCAUUACUACCUGCAUGUGUGUUUUCAAAGCAGAACUUUUGGUAUUGCACAACAAAUUGGUGUUCUCUUCCUUAAGAAAGCCUAUAUCUCUCUUUGCCAGAUUUCGUCAUUUGCAUAUUGUAAUUUAUGUAGGUUUUGUCCUUGUGGGCUUUUCUUUGUGUCAUAUAUAGUCAAUGAAUUUUAAUUCUGUCAUGUUGCUAUGACUCUUUCUGAUAUUACUAAAAGAGACACUACCACAGCAAACUUCCUGAACUUUCAUGUCUGAAUUUUUUCUGCCACAUUUUAGGCAAAAUUGCCUAAGCAUUAGGCAUGGAAGAGUUUAUACAUCUACCUAUCUAUCUAUCUAUCUAUCUAUCUAUCUAUCUAUCUAUCUAUCUAUCAGGUCUGUGAAAGCUCCAAAAGAAAAAGACAACCUAGAAUCUGACCCAAUUUUGAUGGCCAUGAGAAACAUCAAUUAUUAGCAGGGCAAAAAUAACCAUUAGGGUACAAAUAGGUGUAUGCUAAUAUAUGUGAUUGCACAUAUAUCUUGGAGAUAACAAACAGCUUUCUAGUAGAACUUAUGACCUCAUCAACAAAGAGGAGAUCAUGUUUGGUACUGGAAAUAUAGUCAACUAAUCAGAGUAGUGAAGUCACAGUCACUAGAGGGGAAACUAAAACUAUAAAAUUUUAAACAAACAUAAUCACUAUUAUUUAUAUCAUAUGUAUUAAUACCAAGAAUGAAUAAGUCCUCUCACUCCAUCAAGAAAAUUCUCUUUGCAAAUAGGUAUUCAGCCUUAAGGAGCUCAGUGUCAACUUCUUCAUAAUACCAAUUUCAGAUGGCUUAUUUGUUCAUAGAUGUGUGGAAAUGUAUUGGAUUGAUGGAAGCCAGAGAAUUUUACACAGAAGGAAAGAAGACUACACUGCCAGCAAAGCUUGUGAUGUGGAUGAAAGCGAGGCCAGGAAUGGCUAGGCUGUUGGACCUGGUCUACCUCUACCACUGGGAAGCUCCAAGCAGAUACAUACCACAGGCAGACUCCAGUGACUAUCAUUUUAGCAGGGGAUCCUCAGUGGCUCAGACACUGGUUGUGGAUUGUCCUUCCCCUACAUGACUUAUUGUUUUCCCAUACUGCUCUUUUGAACAAGUAAUAAAGUGUUCCAC